UACGGAGAGUGCAAACGUUGUUCGGAUUCACUGGGCGUAAAGGGCACGUAGGCGGCUCGGCAAAUCGGUCGUGGAAUCCCGACGCUUACCGUCGGAACGGCGGCCGAAAAUACCGGGCUCGAGGGCGUGAGGGGUCACUGGAACUCCUGGUGAAGCGGUGAAAUGCGUAGAUAUCAGGAGGAACACCAAUGGCGAAGGCAGCUCACUGGGACGGUAUUGACGCUGAGACGCGAAAGCGUGGGGAGCAAACAGG
This 253-nucleotide ribosomal RNA is filed under the name uncultured bacterium. Its description in RNAcentral is "partial 16S ribosomal RNA". It matches the Rfam family "Bacterial small subunit ribosomal RNA", at positions 524 to 776 of the family's 1533-position model. The record is from RNAcentral.